Molecule: long non-coding RNA, 520 nt
Organism: Cyprinus carpio (common carp)
Lineage: Eukaryota; Metazoa; Chordata; Actinopteri; Cypriniformes; Cyprinidae
Source: Ensembl
UGGACGGCCGUCUCUCUCUCAGACGCUCAACAGGUCUCAUGUUCAUUCUCUCUCAGAUCUGGAGAGGUAAAAGAAGGAAGACUGAACAUACAGGGCAUCGUAUAUUCAGGUCCAUGGAAGGCUCUUUUCCUCACUUUUCUCAUCUGUGCUCUUCUGGGUUCAGUUGGGUUCAUCCUCUACAAAUACAGAGAGAAACUAACAGGUACAAUCUAGUUUGAACAAUUGAAAUGAUUUUAUCUUCAGAUGGUUUUUAUGUAGGUAUUUUAUGCUUAAGUGUUGAUUUUUUUUUUUUUCAGGGAAGAAACCAGUCAAAGAAAGUAAGUAAACUACAUGUGCAUAAUUUUAACAUCCAAAAAUACAUAUGAAUAUACUUCUAUUUUCCUCAUUUGUAAGUCACUUUGGAUAAAAGCUUCUGCUAAAUGAGUAUAUGUAAAUGUAAAGGAAUCAGCUUAACAUCAGAAUUUAUUGUGGUUGAUUAAGUGGAGUAUUUGUGUAAAUAAAUUGGUAAUUAAACCCUCCA